This 402-nucleotide ribosomal RNA is filed under the name Verrucomicrobiota bacterium. RNAcentral describes it as "Verrucomicrobia bacterium partial 16S ribosomal RNA". It matches the Rfam family "Bacterial small subunit ribosomal RNA", at positions 355 to 776 of the family's 1533-position model. The record is from RNAcentral. Lineage: Bacteria; Pseudomonadati; Verrucomicrobiota.
UGGGGAAUUUUGCACAAUGGGGGAAACCCUGAUGCAGCGACGCCGCGUGAUUUAGAAGGCCUUCGGGUUGUAAAAAUCUUUUGUAUGGGAAGAAAAUGACAGUACCAUACGAAUAAGGACCGGCUAAUUACGUGCCAGCAGCCGCGGUAAUACGUAAGGUCCGAGCGUUGUCCGGAAUCAUUGGGCGUAAAGGGUACGUAGGCGGAUAAGCAAGUUAGAAGUGCAAUCCUAUAGCUCAACUAUAGUAAGCUUUUAAAACUGCUCAUCUUGAGGUAUGGAAGGGAAAGUGGAAUUCCUAGUGUAGCGGUGAAAUGCGCAGAUAUUAGGAGGAAUACCGGUGGCGAAGGCGACUUUCUGGCCAUAUACUGACACUGAGAUACGAAAGCGUGGGUAGCAAACAGG